AUCUCCACGCUCUCUCUCUCUCUCUCUCUCUCUCUCUCUCUCUCUCUCUCUCCCCCCUCUUUCUCUCUUCAAGUGCAUAAAGUUCAAUUCAAGUGACCUGGAUUUUUGGAGCUGCUGCCUCUCCAUUUGAUUUUAAUCGCGCUCAGCACGGUGAACCUCUCGGUAGUCAGUGAACUUGUAAAAAGAGAGCAGUGUCAUCGUGACACCAUUCGUGCACAUACGACAUACUUGUCCGCAGAUCGAAGAGGAUGGAUAUAUGAACGACGAGAUCGUCAGAUAACUCAUUUGAAUUCAUAUAACGUUGACGUGUCGUCCCGAGCCGAACACCGCUUCUCGUCCUCGCCGAUGGGAAUUUGUUUGCGCUGCUACUAAGUAAUUAUGUUUCCUGACCCGACUCGGUUGGCUUCCGUUCUCGGUAGAUUCCGUUGAAAUCCUCCCGUCCGCUAAAAGUUCCGCGCGGUACGGACUUGAGCGAUUAAGGUUGAUUAGAUCGUAACUUCCCUUUUCAUUUACUGACGCUUUAAAGAGAUCGCGGUGUCCGUGAAUAUUUAUUACUCGCCACAAUCAACCACGUUUCUUUUCACGUUGCUUUCACCGUGGAAAUCAGAAAUUGAAAUCCGUGAAACGGGAAAUGGCACUCCGCGCCGCUUUAAAAGAGCGACGCUCUUGAUUGAAAUUUUCAACUAAAUCGAGAAUCUUUCUGUUUUCAGUUUAAUUUUUUGUCGCGCGACAACGAAGGUAAUUAUUUCCAAUGUGGCUCUCUUGCAUACAGAUGACAUGAUGAUUCCGGUGUACGUUGUAUGAAAUUUGCAUUUUAAAAAGUAUCUUUUUCAUGCGAACGAUCCUACAUGUGAAAAAAGGUGACAUUGAACGUCCACUAGCGUUACAUGUUGUUCUCAGAAUUUAUGAAUUCGAUAUAUUGUGACAUAUAUUACGGCAAUCAGUAUCGAGAAUUCUCACGUAAUUGUCGCGAUGAAUGUGGAAAAGCGGCGCAAGAUGUAGAGACCGGGAGACGUAAAGCGCGCGUGCUUUGAUUCAUUGAAAGUCUGGCAUGCCUCAUUUCCAGGAAUCUCGAAAAAGAUCGCGCCUCCGUUCUGUCUCGUCUCUUCUCCGGGAAAUUCAGCGCACGGGGACCGUUGAUCGAAUUCGGACGGUUUCCGUGGAUUCGAUUUUCC
Long non-coding RNA from Odontomachus brunneus, 1175 nucleotides. RefSeq lists it as uncharacterized. The record is from RefSeq and is a predicted model, not a curated record. Lineage: Eukaryota; Metazoa; Arthropoda; Insecta; Hymenoptera; Formicidae. The transcript is spliced from 3 exons.